CUACGGGCGGCUGCAGUCGAGAAUCUUCCGCAAUGGGCGAAAGCCUGACGGAGCGACGCCGCGUGCAGGAUGACACCCUUCGGGGCGUAAACUGCUUUUAUGAGUGAAGAAGCUUCGGUUGACAUUAGCUCAUGAAUAAGGGUCCGCCAAACUCGUGCCAGCAGCGGCGGUAAUACGAGUGACCCAAGCAUUGUCCGGAAUUAUUGGGCGUAAAGGGUCCGCAGGUGGUCUGACAAGUCAACAGUUAAAUAUCCCGGCUCAACCGGGAAACCGCUGGUGAAACUAUCAGACUAGAGACUGGGAGAGGCAGACGGAAUGGUAGGUGUAGGGGUCAAAUCCGUUAAUAUCUACUAGAACACCAAAGGCGAAAGCAGUCUGCUUGAACAGUUCUGACACUCAGGGACGAAAGCGUGGGGAGCGAAUGGGAUUAGAUACCCCGGUAGUC
This 445-nucleotide ribosomal RNA is filed under the name uncultured bacterium. RNAcentral describes it as "partial 16S ribosomal RNA". It matches the Rfam family "Bacterial small subunit ribosomal RNA", at positions 339 to 795 of the family's 1533-position model. The record is from RNAcentral.